ACUUGCUCUGCACAGGAUUGCCACAAACCUUCAAUUUGUAAAAACCCCAGUAUCUGCAAAGCACGGUAACGUGAAGCAAAAUAAAACAAGAUGUGCCUAUAUAUUAUCUAUGAAUUACAGGGACAUUACUAAGUAUUAAAUAUUUGUUAUAUAAAGGAGAUGCUGGUUUUCAAAGGGUUGAGAACCACUGUACUAACUACUGAUGAUUCUCUGUCCUCUAAGCCCCAACCCGUAUUUGUCCAGUGUUCUACUGGAGAGCUCAGAUAUCACAUCGCAUUCUGAGUGUAACAUGUCCAAAGCAAAACUCAUUGUUUGGUUCCACAAAACCACUUCCUUGUGCUUAGUUCCCAAGUAUUAUGCUCUUGCUCACCAUCCCCCUCAUUUAAUUGGUUAGCAAUAUUAUUUUUCUACCUGCUUAACAUCACUUGCUACUGUCUGCUCCUUUCCAUCCCCAUACUAUGCUACAGUUUAGAUGCUUAUAUUCUUACCCCUGGGACCUUGCAACAUUCUCCUCUGGGCUUCUCUGCUGCCCUUAUGUCUCUCUUAUUCAUAGGCUAUCUAAAUAUUAGUCAUAGCAUGAAUAUCAAAUAACAGACAGCCUGUCCUGGGACUUCUCAGCCUCCAUAAUCAUGUAAGCCAAUUCUCCUAAUAAAUCUCUCAUCUGACUAUCUGUCUAUCUAUUUGUUUAUCUAUCAGUUAUCUCUUAUUAGUUCUAUUGGUUCUGUCUCUCUGAAGAAUCCUAACUAAUACAGACUUUGGUACCAGGACUAGUUCUAGAGGAGCAGAAUUUUAAGGAUGAAUUUCCUUCAUUGGUUUUGGGGUUGGGGAAUUGGCUCUCUAAUCUGAUUAGACUUAAAAUGCUAGAGUCUCUACCUUUAGAGCAGAGAGCUCUAAUAGUACAGAGAUCACUGAUAGUCUCUGGCAUGAACUGUUUAUAGAGAUAUGUAAAAUAAAUAGAUUUGAUACUCCUAAUUCACCACUUAUAAGAGGUAAAGAAUUUUGUGACUCUCUAUGUAAUAUUCUUGAACAUUUGGGGGAAAGCAAGGGAAUAUGAUGACAAUGGUUGGUUGCCCCUAGCAUGGCUGGACGCAGUGAUGAAAGAAAUGGGUGAGCUCAUGGAUUCAAUUUCUUGGGUCCAGCUCCACAUAAAUGACCCGAGAGUUUCAAUGUGUGCCCUGAGUCAGAAUCUUCUCCCCACAAGGCUGAAAUUGCCAAAAAUCAAACACUAGCCCUCAUCCUGCAAUUGGCUAAAUUAUGAAGAAAGUUUAAUUCUCAGCCUUGUAGAGUGUCUCCUGUUCAAGUGAGGGCCUGGGCUGGGAGAGCAUGGAAUCCCACAAAUUAAGAUGGGGACAUAUCAAAGGACCCUGACGAACCUGAAGACAUUGAGCUCCUAAAUUCUGCUGAGUCCUGUUUGCUAGACAUGACUGUCCCAUCCCCACCCCCAGCCCCAGAGGCAGUGACACCCCCACCCACAGUGUUAUCCGCCUUUCCACUUCUGUCCCCGAGGGUAUUGACUCUGCAUUGCCUGAGGAAUUGCUAGUGGUUUUCCCUCAGGCAGUUGCCAACCAAGACAAAGCUGAUUCUUCUCAGGACCCACCCCCGCCACCCUUCUCUGCUUCUAGACCUGUGACUAGACUCAAGUCCCAGAAGGCCUCUAAACAUGAAGUACAAAGUAUGACCCAUGACUAGGUGAGCUGUUCCCCAAAAGAACUACUUGAGUUUUCUAAUUUAUUUAAGGAGAAAUAUGGAGAACAUGUGUGGUAAUGAACAUAAAGAGUGUGGAAUAGUGGUGGAAGGAACAUAAAGUUGGGUUAGGCUGAAUUGGUUGAUAUGGGCCCACUAAGCGGAGAGCUUAAUGUUGAAGCUAGGGAGUUAGGAAAGGGGCUAACUGAUUGGCUGAAACAUGCAUGCAAAGAUGGCCCAUGGAGAGCAAGCUGGAGAUGCCUCAUCUCCCUUGGUUUCCCAUAGCGGAAGGGAUCCAAGGGCUCAGGGAGAUGGGAAUGCAAGAGUGAAUUUGCCAGGUAAAACCUGCUCGCCUACACUGGGAAGGUCCAGCAGACACACCUUUCACCGGUGCCUUGAGAAAUGCAUUUGUAAGGGGAGCCACAGCAUCCCCGAAGAGCUCCAUGAGUGCUCUUUUCUGUAUGCCUGACCUUACAGUGGGAACACUCACUCAAUUGAAAAACUCUAAGUGCAAUGGGAAUAAUUGGAUUCUGGAGUGGCAGCGGCCGAGUGCUGGCACUCCACCAUCAAAGGCAAGCUGGGCAUAGUGACCGAAACGGACAGCAGAGGCAAAGCAAUAAUCAGAAUAGUCUGACUCAUGUAGAUUCCUUUAUACAAGGGAAUCCACUCCAGAGAUAACAAUCCCACUCCUGGCAUUAAUCCAUGUACCCUGCCCUCAUGGCCUAAUCAUCUCCCAUUGGGCCCCACCUCCCAGCACUGUUGCAUUGGAGAUUAAGUUUCCAACACAUGCUCUUUGGGGGAAAUAUUCAAGCCACAGUACAUACGUAAUGGAAGUGAGGAGAUGAUGGCAUCAUAGAACUUCAGAGCUGGAAGAGACUUCUGAGCUUUAAUCCAGUCUAUCAUUUUAUAGAAGAGGAAACUGAGUAGAGGAGAUACCUUGAAGGCAAGUUACAGCAGAGCUAGACUAGAACCUAAAUUCCCUGGUAGGAAUACUGCAACACACACACACACACACACACACACACACGUAUGUGCCCGCAUACGCAGAGAGAGUAAGAAAGUGCAAUACGACGUGCAUGAAACAUUAAUGUUUAGCCGGUAAAUGAAACCCUAUUUAAAAACUGAGGCUACUAGUGAAGUGGUUAAGACCAGCCUUGGACAAGUAACUUCGACUCUGUGCCUCCGGGAUAAUACAGUCUACCUUGCAGGGUAUCGUGGGAAUCAUAAAUGAUAUAUGGUAACCCCCCAUCAGCUAGGGAUGCUUUCGGUUGCAAGCAACAUAAAUCCUAACUGAUGGUAUCUUAAACAAAUAAGGGUUUGUUUUUGUCCUUUUAAAAGCAUGGAGGCAGGUGGCUGCUGGCAUUGUCCAGUGGCAAAUGUCACUGAAAGUUUCUUGACCUUUCCUUUAUGUUUGUGGCCUCAUGGUGGCCAAAUAACUGUUAAAGUUCCAGGUGGUGUAUGUGUAUUCAAGGCUGGAAUAGGGGGAAAUGAAGAAAGGCUCUUCUAGGCACAUCUAUCCCUCAUUCCGGGGACAGCGAGUUCACCUCGAAGUGCCCCAGAAGAGUUCUGCUUAUGCCUCAUGGCCCCAGUGCCAUCCAUCAUAUUAUCCCUAGCUAGCUAGAUAAAAAGCUACAUAAAGCAAAAUAUUUUGCUUUAAAGUAUCUGUGGGAAAGGGAGUUGGGAAUAGCUUUUUAGUAACCCAUGCACAGGACCUGCCACAAGAACCUACCAUAUGAGAGACUUAUUAAAGGGUAGUUUCUGGAAUUUUAAAUAAACCUUUGAAGUUUGCUGUGAAUCUAUCCAGUCAUCUUGACCUUCAACAAUGAACUUUUCACUACAAAGAGUCAACAAGAAAGCAUUAACUGGUUUUGGUGUGCAGUUUGUAGCUCCAUCUCAUUACUUACUUUUCACAUUUUAUAGAUUUCUUGAGAUUGCCCUGGGAUUAUGGGAAUUUGGUGACUCGGGUCAUGAACUCCAUUAUUUUGGCAUUAGCCUUCAAGGCAAAGAUCCAGUAUUAAACUGGUCUUUAUAUCUAUUUUUAACAUCUUGGGUUUGGAGGUAAAGGAGAUUGGAUGAAACCCCAAAACUCAUUGAAGAUUGUGAAAUAAAGGGAAAAUGUAAGUGGAAGCAUGAAGUUUCAGUGUGUUCUUUAUCAUCCUUAACAGCUUAAAUAAAAUGACUGACUAUUCUCGGAGUCAAAAAUAAUUCAGGAUUUAAUUGGCAAAGGUAUUUUAAGGUUCUGUCGUUUUCUAUUUUUCUCCUGCCUUGGUAAAGCUAUGAGUUAUGUUGUAAGCACUGAGCAUCUUGAAAUAGUAGUUACUAAGACAACGUAUUCAAUUAAGAAUUAAUUGGAUUUUGAAAAAUUCUCCUGCGUGCACAUAUAAACAUAUAGGUAUUGUGUUUCUCAUUUUGCCUUGGCACAACUUCUUCCUAAGGGAUGCCUGUAUAUUCUUUACAUUCUUAAAAUGAACAUUUUUGCAUCUCCAUAAGUAAACAGAAUACUUUUAACAUGAUAAAGGAUUGCCUUCCUGGGGGAAAGUUACUUAUUACAGAUUACAGAGCCAUAUUAUAUAUGUAUGAGUAGGUCUUCAGGCUGGCUUCCACCAAAUUUCAGUAAAUAGCUACUUUUAUCUAAAAGUUGAUCCAUGAGUUCCCAUGAUUAUUUGCCAACAAUGCCUGGGCUUGUUUUCUGUAUGCUUUCCUUAAUUCCUUGUGGGCAAAUGAGGUUCCCCUAAAGUGGUAAAUUUUGCAUCUCGAAUUUGAGCUAUGUAAGAGCUGGCAAGUGCUACUGAUGAUAUGAACUAAAUAGUCAAGUAGAAUAUUUCUAUUGUCUACGGAAACGUUAAGCUUUUCUGUAGACAUAGAAGGUCAAGGGACAGUGGGCACCAUAAAGACCACACAUCUCAACCUCGUCAUUAUGUUACUCACAAAAAAUCAAAACAUAGAUUAGCCAAUUUAUUUUCCCAAUAUAGUAAACUUGUAAAAUGAAAUCCCAGAUCUUCACAAGCUUGAGGUUUCUGAAAAACUUCUGCAUACUUUUUAAUGGAGAUAAUAUGGCAAAGGGCUUGUCCCCACAGACUUCAUUCCAUAUCUCUGCUGGAUGUCAGGAAUUGCAUGCUAGGGAUAAAACGGGACUGAGACACAAUUUUGCCCCCAAAGAGCUUAAUGAUCUUAGAAUCUACCAGAGGCAUGAAAAGGUGGAAGGCCCUGGUUUGGGUAGAUGUCAUCUCUGCCCAUGUAAGAAAGAAAAGUAGGGAUGGUGGAGAUUUGAACUAAAUGACACCUCUGCUCCGGCUGAUUCUGUCUUCUCUGAACACUCUUUCUCAAAAGGCAAAGAGAUGACUUUGUGUUCAGAACACUGGAAAAACAAAUCUUGGCUCAGCCAUUUACCUCUUUGCAUCUCGAUUUCUUUAUCUGUAAAUAAGGAUGAUAGUAAUACCUAUCUCCUGGAAUUAGGACAAUGUACAUAGUAAGAUAGAGCCUCUGACGUGUGCAUUUUAGGGGGAGGAGAACUUAAAGUCACCAGGAGCCUUCAGAGAAUCUGAUUUGCCCCUUCUAUUUAUCUUGCAUGGUUUUUCUCCCUCAAUUUGCCCUUCGAGGAUAGGAGAAAACUUCCCACAAACGCUUCCUCUUGUGCCUUUUGGAUCUGGUGGCUACCAGACUGCCGUUGGCAAUGCAAACCCCUUAGAGAUCAAGGGAAGUUAUAGCAGCACCCACUGCAGGCUCCUCCGACAUGAUUGGAGUGUGGCUGCCAGCCCUUCAGUCCAGGCCAAGUCUCCCGCAGAUGAUGAAGAGCGAAUCUUCAGCCUCAGUGUUCAGGGUUUCCACUCCACCCUCACUGCUCAUCCUCUGCCGCAGGGACACCAACAAGGGCUUGAACAAUGGGUUAAGCAAUGCCACGCACUCCACUGGGGAAUAAUUGGGUGCUUCAUAGUUCUUUUUUAUUAUUAUAAAUAAUGAUGGUUUUCUUUAUUAUAGAAAGGAUACAUGAUAGUUUUUAAUCAGAAAAAGAAAAAUGUUGAACUGUAAAUACGAUUUUGAAACUUCACCAUCUUUUAGAUGCAAGCAUGCCAAUGAAUUGUUGAAAAAAAGCUUUGAAUAUAAUGGUUUGCUAAAAUUAGAUCAAUGAAUAUCAGUAUUUUAUCAUCAUUGUUUUAUGAAAAAUGCUUUUCUUGGCUUAAGCUUUUAGGUAUCACAAUAAUAAAAAUUGUAUUCAGAGGAUACAUUUGCCUUAUUGCAGGUAUCUUGAUUGGAUAUGUAUAUUAUUAUGUAUAUUUAGUAUAAUAUGUGUAUUUAAUGCCCAUAAAGUUGGGAAACAUAAUUGAAUAUGCAUUUUGUUAAGGGCAUCUUUGAUCUGUAAUCGUAAUAAAUUACUAUCUAGUACUAUAUACUUUCUGGACAUUGUGAAAUACAAAAAUAAAUGCCUUCAAAGAGUUCACAGUCUAGUUGGGGAAACAACCAUUUCAUUGCUGCCAGAAACUGACCUCAUUGUCCUGCCAGCAACUACUGACUGUGGUCCAAGAUUCUAAUAAAAGACAUCCAACUCACAAAUCAACUCCAUGGUGGAGGUGAUCAAAUUAUAGAUGAGACAUAGUUGUACACUUACCACUAGUUCUAUUGUCUUCUUUUUCUUCCUCUAAUACUAUACCAGGUAUUGCUUUCUCAAGGUUAAACGGAGGGCCGCUGAGACUUUGUCGUACUCACACACUAUGAUAUAGUUAGUCUUGAGGAAAUUAUUCACAUAGAUCGAGCCAGUUGGGUUUUUAAAUGAUCAGAUUGUUUAUCCGUAGAAUAUUUUGCACAUAUUACCUGAAUAUAUGCCUUGGUUCUUUCUUUCAUUCAUGUUAUAAAUGUAUCCACAGGGAAGAUUGAGUCAUAAUCAAAAGAAUGUUUGUUUAUCUACUUAUGAGGUACACUAGAAAAAGGCAUCUUUAUCCAAAUCUGGGUUGCUUGGCAACUGCAUCAGCUUUCCAUGCUAGUUAACCGGCUGUGAAUGGAGCCUGAUAGAGUCCAAGGAUCAUGCUAACACUCAUAGUCACAGGAGGCCUAGAACCAAGGAAUUUCCCCCUCUGUGAUCAAGUUCUCAUGUUGGCAGCUGAGAAAGCCACUGACAGCUGGGGAGUUAUUUUCUCCUUUAGUCACAAGAUGAUGGAGAUAAUCUUGGACGGGAAGUGUGGGGGAGAAGAGGAGACAAGUGCUGGCGGCUCCAACCAGAAUUGGACAAAGGGAAGCACAGAGGUACUGCACAUCACCACUGUCCACCAAGAGCAACGUAUAAUUGGAAUGACCUUCAUUUUAAGUUGUGAACUGUGGAGCCAGAAUAAGCCGUGUGAUACACAGACCCAAAUUAGAUGCCAUUUUAACAUCGACAGAGAAUAUUGGCUUUUUAGAGAUUCAUCUUUAUGUUUGUUGUUUGGAGAUUUUGCUCUAAGUAGAUAUCAAUUACGUUUUCCCCUUUUUCCAUUUUGUCUGCAAUUAUUUUCCUGGCAUUCAUUCAAUAGAGAGCUUCAAGUCAUGUUUUCAGAUUGAAAUAAACUUUGAUGAAAAUUGAAAAUCAAUGCUUUCCUUCUAAUAAUGUUAGCAAAAUGGGAAAA
This is a non-coding RNA of Microcebus murinus (gray mouse lemur), 7277 nucleotides long. NCBI's taxonomy places the organism in Eukaryota, Metazoa, Chordata, Mammalia, Primates, Cheirogaleidae. The record is from RefSeq and is a predicted model, not a curated record.